Molecule: ribosomal RNA, 201 nt
Filed under: uncultured bacterium
Lineage: Bacteria
Description: partial 16S ribosomal RNA
Rfam family: Bacterial small subunit ribosomal RNA
Source: RNAcentral
AAUCAACGCUGGCGGCGUGCCUCAGACAUGCAAGUCGAACGCGAAAGGUUCCUUCGGGAGCCGAGUAGAGUGGCGCUCGGGUGAGUAACACGUAGGUAAUUUGCCUUUGGGUGGGGAAUAACAAUCGGAAACGGUUGCUAAUACCGCAUAAUGCAGCGGCUCGACAUCGAGACAGUUGUUAAAGCGGGGGAGUCCUUCGGG